This 65-nucleotide transfer RNA is filed under the name pig gut metagenome. It matches the Rfam family "tRNA". From Rfam's summary of the family: Transfer RNA (tRNA) molecules are approximately 80 nucleotides in length. Their secondary structure includes four short double-helical elements and three loops (D, anti-codon, and T loops). Further hydrogen bonds mediate the characteristic L-shaped molecular structure. tRNAs have two regions of fundamental functional importance: the anti-codon, which is responsible for specific mRNA codon recognition, and the 3' end, to which the tRNAs corresponding amino acid is attached (by aminoacyl-tRNA synthetases). tRNAs cope with the degeneracy of the genetic code in two manners: having more than one tRNA (with a specific anti-codon) for a particular amino acid; and 'wobble' base-pairing, i.e. permitting non-standard base-pairing at the 3rd anti-codon position. The record is from RNAcentral.
ACUGUGGCUCAGGGGUAGAGCAACGCACUCGUAAUGCGUAGAUCGAGGGUUCGAAUCCCUCCAGU